UCAGGAGGUAGUUUAUAAAAAAUAUUAAUUUUGGGGAUUAAUGAAAAAAUAUUAAUUUUUCUCUUGAA
This 68-nucleotide transfer RNA is filed under the name Geron pallipilosus. RNAcentral's name for it is "tRNA-Pro". The record is from RNAcentral. Lineage: Eukaryota; Metazoa; Arthropoda; Insecta; Diptera; Bombyliidae.